Molecule: long non-coding RNA, 2397 nt
Filed under: Homo sapiens (human)
Lineage: Eukaryota; Metazoa; Chordata; Mammalia; Primates; Hominidae
Description: uncharacterized LOC100506207, transcript variant 1 (LOC100506207)
Source: RNAcentral
UCCCGCGCAUGCUCUAUGGGGUAGAGACGCUAGGCCGGCACUGCCUAGGUGGGCCGGGCGGUGCGAGGGUCGCCUUUCAGCCUUUACCUCUACCCACUGAAAUGGAGUAGGUCGGUGAGCGCCGAUCUGCUGGAGAAUCUCAUUAUCCCAUCGGCGCUCUGCCUGCUCCUGGCCUCCAAGCCUCUGAAGCCCCUCGGGUUUCAGCUGCCGGCUACCCUCGAGCCCGUGGUGCCCACGAGAGAGGCGACUUUACGUCAGCGGCCCUGGGCUGAGAUUUGAGAACGCGACCAAGUGGAGAAUGUUGGAGCCAGAUUUUAAAAUCCUUGUCUUCCUUCUGCGUGCUACUUGAUCUAAAUGAGAUACGGCAAAGUCACAGAACCUGUUUUUAUGUUUUUGCCUGAUUCAUACGGGCUUCUCCGGUGAAGAUGGGCCUGAAGUAACGCUUGGGUUGCUUCUGACGUUAUAACUCAUCCUGUAGCUGCAGCAACCGUGGUCCUUGCAACCUCAUAAAAAUGUUGCCAGCAUUGUUUCGAUAGUGCUGCUUAAUUCUUGGAAGGUUCUUCGGACUUCACACAUUCCAGCAGUAGCUCUCUCAGCUCCUGUCCUGCACAGCUUUGAAGUGCUGGUGAUGUCAUUGAACUCUUAAGUGCAAGAUGAAACAAGUCUUUCUGGGGUUCUAAGUAGGAAUUGGCUCAUAUGAUUGUGGAGGCUCAGACAUCCCAAAAUCUGCAGCCAGCAAGCAGGAGACCCAGGAGAGCGAAUGUUGUAGCUCCAGUCUGAAGAUCGUCCAGCCUGAGACCCAGGAGGAGCCAAUGUUUCAGUUUGAAUCUGAAGGCAGGAAAAGACUGAUGUACCAGCUCAUGGCAGUCAGGCAGGAGCAGUUCCUCUUACUAGCAGGAAAGUUGGCCUUUUUGUUUUAUUCUGGCCUUCAACUGAUUGGUUCAGGCCCACCCACAUUAAGGAGGGCAACAAUCUGGUUUACUUGGUCUCCUGAUUAAAACAUUAAUCUCAUCCAAAAAUGCUUUCACAGACACACUUAGAGUAAUGUUCAACCAAAUAUCUUGGCACCCUUGGUCCAGUCAAGUUUACAAUAUUAACUGUCACACUGUUAUAAGUCUAGUCUAUGCCUAAUUUUAAGCUUCUAAAACAAUCAACUCAAAGGAAAUUUAACUGAGCUCUAGUGGUCCCGUUUGCUAAAGUAUAACAUUAGUGUUUUAUUCUAAACAAGUUUAGGCUUUUCUCUUUGCUAAGAUAAAUUCACAUUUUUAAGCUUUGAAAAUGCCAUAUAUAUUAUUUAUUUAUUUAUUUAUUUAUUUAUUUAUUUUUGAGGCAGGGUCUCACUGUCUGGCUCAGGUUGGAGUACAGUGGUGUGACCAUGGUUCACUGCAGCUUUGACCUCUCAGGCUCAAGCUGUUCUCCUGCCGCAGCCUCCUGAGUAGCUGGGACUACAGGCUCAUGCCACCACACACUGCUAAUUUUUGUAUUUUUGGUAGAGACGGGAUUUCCCUAUGUUGCCCAGGGUGGUCUUGAACUCCUAGGCUCAAGUGAUCCACCCACCUCAGUCUCCCCAAGUGCUGGGAUUACAGGCGUGAACCACUGUGCCCAGCCAAAAAUGCUAUUCUGUUAAUAGCUUCUUAGAGUUUUUGUUUUUUGUUAUGUGGCCUUAAAGCAGAGCAGAUCCAUGUGUAUAGGGACCAGUCACAAAUACAUUAUAGAGGUUGCCCUCAAACUUCAUUUGUACCUUUCUGGCAUUAGCUUUCUCUUUCAAAUGAUAUAAGGAGGCAGCAGCAUGAUGUCUUUGUUCCCUGACAGAGGGAAAUCUAGGAAUCGGUUAUCUGCCUUCAGAGAAGUCUGGAAUGAGAGUACAAGGAAACUAUGAAUCUCACCACUUUGAGAGCCCAUUUACCAGGAGGAAAUGAAUGAGAAAGAGUAUGAGUUCAGAUCAGCUUGGGAACUAAAGCCAUGGCCAUGCCUGGGAGAAAGGAACUUAAGGUGAAGACAAAAAUCAGUGGGGAAGUAUACACUCUAUUAUCAACAAAAAUCAGAUGAUCAAUUUGUAUUUAUUACAGGACCAGAGUGUACAGAACUGAGUGGCCUUCAAGGCAGCUCAGGGCAUUGAACUCUGCCCUUGAUUCUUUUGGGUGAAGACAUUCAGUGCCACACUACCAGUAUGUAAUGUUUGCACCUGGCAAAAGUGGUGGUCAAGAUCUACCCUGAAUUUACUGAAAAAUGUCUCCUCUUUUCUUUCUCAACUACUGUGGUUAUUAGGCUAUAUUCUUUCAGUACCUUCACACUUUAAGAAUUGUUAAUUAUUCUUGUUUUUUCUGUUAUCAUUUAUACUGAUAAAAUGAAUUAUAAGCCUAAAAUAAAAAAAAAAAAAAAAAAAAAAAAAAAAAA